RNAcentral lists this long non-coding RNA (217 nucleotides) under Mytilus galloprovincialis (Mediterranean mussel). Lineage: Eukaryota; Metazoa; Mollusca; Bivalvia; Mytilida; Mytilidae. The record is from RNAcentral.
GGGGGCCUUUAUAGUUUGCUGUUCGGUAUGAGCCAAGGCUCCAUGUUGAAGACUCCUUUGACCUAUAAUGGUUUACUUUUACAAAUUGUGACUUGGAUGGAGAGUUGUCUCAUCAACACUAAUACCACAUCUUCUUAAUAUCUAUUUACAAAUAAAGGAACAUGGUUCUAAUGUCCCCUUUUCGGUUUGUUUCUCAUCAAUUUUUUUAAUAAAUUUC